This 492-nucleotide ribosomal RNA is filed under the name uncultured bacterium. RNAcentral's name for it is "partial 16S ribosomal RNA". It matches the Rfam family "Bacterial small subunit ribosomal RNA", at positions 29 to 507 of the family's 1533-position model. The record is from RNAcentral.
AGUGAACGCUGGCGGUAGGCCUAACACAUGCAAGUCGAACGGCAGCACAGUAAGAGCUUGCUCUUACGGGUGGCGAGUGGCGGACGGGUGAGGAAUACAUCGGAAUCUACUUUUUCAUGGGGGAUAACGUAGGGAAACUUACGCUAAUACCGCAUACGACCUACGGGUGAAAGCGGGGGAUCUUCGGACCUUGCGCGAUUGAAUGAGCCGAUGUCGGAUUAGCUAGUUGGCGGGGUAAAGGCCCACCAAGGCGACGAUCCGUAGCUGGUCUGAGAGGAUGAUCAGCCACACUGGAACUGAGACACGGUCCAGACUCCUACGGGAGGCAGCAGUGGGGAAUAUUGGACAAUGGGCGCAAGCCUGAUCCAGCCAUACCGCGUGGGUGAAGAAGGCCUUCGGGUUGUAAAGCCCUUUUGUUGGGAAAGAAAAGCAGCAGGUUAAUACCCCGCUGUUCUGACGGUACCCAAAGAAUAAGCACCGGCUAACUUCGUG